UCAGCAGUUACAUAGGAACUACAGACAAAAGUGCAUUCAAAGUGUUAAUCCAUCAAAUUUCUUACAGCCUGUAGUGGAUAUGCAGAAAUAGGCUUGAGAGAGUUAUUUAGGGGAAGAAUUGCAGAGACAGCUCUUUUAUUGACUGCUACUCUCAUGGAACAAAAUGCAGAAAAGGGGAUUUUUGUUAGGCAUUUGCAGGCUGUGACUGUCUCUGUAGAUGGUUUAGUUGUGUUAAAGACUGGAUUAUGGAAGCAUCCUUAUGUUUGCUGAUGUAUUUAAGAAAAGAUUUGCAGCCUUGGACAAUGGGAAAUCAUGCAGUCCAAUAGCAGAUGGAAACAUUCGAGAAGGCGGCUGAGAGGGACACAUGAAGUUCAGGGACAUCACCAAACAGACCAAAGUGAGAAGAAUAAUACAGAGCUUAGUACACAUUUAAAGAACUCAGCAUGAAGUUCAAGAUGAAAAUGACAAAAUGAGCA
This 476-nucleotide long non-coding RNA is filed under the name Coturnix japonica (Japanese quail). RNAcentral describes it as "lncRNA (ENSCJPG00005003425.1)". The record is from RNAcentral. Lineage: Eukaryota; Metazoa; Chordata; Aves; Galliformes; Phasianidae.